RNAcentral lists this ribosomal RNA (43 nucleotides) under Pimelea poppelwellii. RNAcentral's name for it is "partial 5.8S ribosomal RNA". Lineage: Eukaryota; Viridiplantae; Streptophyta; Magnoliopsida; Malvales; Thymelaeaceae. The record is from RNAcentral.
CAGAACGACUCCCGGCAACGGAUAUCUUGGCUCUCGCAUCGAU